This 497-nucleotide ribosomal RNA is filed under the name uncultured bacterium. Its description in RNAcentral is "partial 16S ribosomal RNA". It matches the Rfam family "Bacterial small subunit ribosomal RNA", at positions 28 to 507 of the family's 1533-position model. The record is from RNAcentral.
GAUGAACGCUGGCGGCGUGCCUAAUACAUGCAAGUCGAGCGAACGGACGAGAAGCUUGCUUUUCUGAUGUUAGCGGCGGACGGGUGAGUAACACGUGGAUAACCUACCUAUAAGACUGGGAUAACUUCGUGAAACCGGAGCUAAUACCGGAUAAUAUUUUGAACCGCAUGGUUCAAAAGUGAAAGACGGUCCUGCUGUCACUUAUAGAUGGAUCCGCGCUGCAUUAGCUAGUUGGUAAGGUAACGGCUUACCAAGGCAACGAUGCAUAGCCGACCUGAGAGGGUGAUCGGCCACACUGGAACUGAGGCACGGUCCACACUCCUACGGGAGGCAGCAGUAGGGAAUCUUCCGCAAUGGGCGAAAGCCUGACGGAGCAACGCCGCGUGAGUGAUGAAGGUCUUCGGAUCGUAAAACUCUGUUAUUAGGGAAGAACAUAUGUGUAAGUAACUGUGCACAUCUUGACGGUACCUAAUCAGAAAGCCACGGCUAACUACGUG